RNAcentral lists this ribosomal RNA (253 nucleotides) under uncultured bacterium. RNAcentral describes it as "partial 16S ribosomal RNA". It matches the Rfam family "Bacterial small subunit ribosomal RNA", at positions 524 to 776 of the family's 1533-position model. The record is from RNAcentral.
UACGUAGGGUGCGAGCGUUAAUCGGAAUUACUGGGCGUAAAGUGGGCGCAGGCGGCAGAGCAAGUCGAGUGGGAAAGUCCUGGGCUCAACCUGGGAACUGCGCUUGAUACGGCAGAGCUAGAGGAUGGAAGAGGGUCGCGGAAUUCCCAGUGUAGAGGUGAAAUUCGUAGAUAUUGGGAAGAACACCGGUGGCGAAGGCGGCGACCUGGUCCAUUACUGACGCUGAGGCGCGACAGCGUGGGGAGCAAACAGG